GGAGAAGAUGAAGCACUUCUUAUUGCUUGUGUCUACGGCCUUGUUCACAACAGAUUCUUCUAAUUGCUUGGAAUCUGAUCUUCCAUUUUGCAAGCAAAUUACAGAUUGGCAUGGCGAACUGACUUGCUACACAGAGAGAAAAAUAAGUCUAUUUUGCUCCUGGUUGCCUGUCCCCUGUGCUCCAAAAACUACUACUUAUACAAUAAUUUUAAAGUGGGAUAAAAUCUCAAAACCUUUUGCAAGAACUACAGCAUCAACGUCCAUCACAAUAGAACGAAAAUUCCUUUACAUGAAUCGUGCUGUAAUUAUUUGGGUAUCAGCAAAUUACUCCCAUGAGAGCUGUGUGAAAACAAAGAACAUCUCCAUUAUACCCAGCAAGGCAGAGAAGUGUGCUAUACACUCCAUAAGUGCUCACCAGUUAUCAAACAAAUUAAUAAUUAAGUGGGACGCACCAAAAAAGUCUAUGCAAUAUGAACUGCAAUAUAAAGAAGCACGUCCAACAUCCUCACAGUGGAUAUUGGUGCCCACAGCAAACGAUGCUGUCAAUGUGACUGUCUCCGAUUUAAACAGUACAUCUUCAUAUGUUAUUCAGCUCAGAUGCUUACCCAGUGAGGAUCACCACUGCGUUUGUGUUUGGAGUAAAGAGAUUUUAGUCCCUCAUAAGCUGAUUGACAAGCCAACAAUUUCAGCAAAUGAAACCAUAGAAAUCUCUCCAGGAAGAAUAAAUGUUUUUCUUCAGUGGCAGAUAACACAAAGCAGGAAUGCCAUUGGAUACUAUGUUAAUAUUGAAAGAAUACCCAACAGUUGCAAUGAUCGACCCGAACGCAUCAACGUAACCGAGAGAAGAGUGCAUCUGAAUCUCUCCAUGGCUUAUUAUCGGUUUAAUAUUUCUGCCUAUAAUGAAGCAGGAGAAUCUCCACAGAUCACUUAUGUUGUCCCAGAUUUCACCGCAACAGGUACUUUAUAACUUAUUCCAGAUAGGUGAAGAAACAUUCUUUUGUGGGCAAUGUUGCCUUGUGAUAGCAACAGUUUGGGAA
Molecule: long non-coding RNA, 1037 nt
Filed under: Chrysemys picta bellii (western painted turtle)
Lineage: Eukaryota; Metazoa; Chordata; Testudines; Emydidae
Description: lncRNA (ENSCPBG00000026868.1)
Source: RNAcentral